GUACUCGCUUCGGCAUCACAUAUACUAAAACUGGAAGGACACAGAGAAGAUUAGCAUGGUCCCUGUGCAAGGAUGACAUGCAAAUUCAUGAAGCGCUUCAUAUUUUU
This is a small nuclear RNA of Rhinopithecus bieti (black snub-nosed monkey), 107 nucleotides long. NCBI's taxonomy places the organism in Eukaryota, Metazoa, Chordata, Mammalia, Primates, Cercopithecidae. The record is from Ensembl.